RNAcentral lists this long non-coding RNA (351 nucleotides) under Brachypodium distachyon (stiff brome). RNAcentral's name for it is "long non-coding RNA (BDIS_LNC004418)". Lineage: Eukaryota; Viridiplantae; Streptophyta; Magnoliopsida; Poales; Poaceae. The record is from RNAcentral.
CUACGAACACGUGGAACAAGUGGUGACUAGGGUUCACCCACAACAAUAGCUUCAAACUUGAAAUGAGAUACAUUUGUAUUCUUUAUAUGCUUCUAUGAAAUUUUGACACUUUGUAAUCAAUGUCGUGAAGUGAGAUACAUUUGUAUUCUUUAUAUGCUUUAAAUGGUGCGGCUUUAUAUACAUUUGUAUGCUUUCAAUGAUGUGGCUGUGUAUUUUUCUGUGUUGUGAUGUGAUGUGCUGUAUAUAUUUUUUUGUGUAUUUCCUGUGUAUUUUCUGUAGUUUUAAUUAUUUUUUUAAUUACCGAAAAUGUAUCAGUGUAGGUCGAUCGCCCGACACUGAUGUGGCAAAGCG